RNAcentral lists this small RNA (27 nucleotides) under Arabidopsis thaliana (thale cress). Its description in RNAcentral is "ATSL123180". The record is from RNAcentral. Lineage: Eukaryota; Viridiplantae; Streptophyta; Magnoliopsida; Brassicales; Brassicaceae.
CGGCAUCCUUGUGAACCAGAAGAUGUA